Molecule: ribosomal RNA, 482 nt
Filed under: uncultured bacterium
Lineage: Bacteria
Description: partial 16S ribosomal RNA
Rfam family: Bacterial small subunit ribosomal RNA
Source: RNAcentral
AUUGAACGCUGGCGGCAUGCCUUACACAUGCAAGUCGAACGGUAACAGGUCUUCGGAUGCUGACGAGCGGCGAACGGGUGAGUAAUACAUCGGAACGUGCCCGAUCGUGGGGGAUAACGAGGCGAAAGCUGUGCUAAUACCGCAUACGAUCUACGGAUGAAAGCGGGGGAGCUUCGGACCUCGCGCGGACGGAGCGGCCGAUGGCAGAUUAGGUAGUUGGUGGGAUAAAAGCUUACCAAGCCGACGAUCUGUAGCUGGUCUGAGAGGAUGAUCAGCCACACUGGGACUGAGACACGGCCCAGACUCCUACGGGAGGCAGCAGUGGGGAAUUUUGGACAAUGGGCGAAAGCCUGAUCCAGCCAUGCCGCGUGCAGGAUGAAGGCCUUCGGGUUGUAAACUGCUUUUGUACGGAACGAAAAGCCUCUUUCUAAUAAAGAGGGGUCAUGACGGUACCGUAAGAAUAAGCACCGGCUAACUACGUG